Long non-coding RNA from Herpailurus yagouaroundi (jaguarundi), 500 nucleotides. RefSeq lists it as uncharacterized. The transcript has 4 exons. The record is from RefSeq and is a predicted model, not a curated record. NCBI's taxonomy places the organism in Eukaryota, Metazoa, Chordata, Mammalia, Carnivora, Felidae.
UCCGCCCCCGCUCGCUUCUGCCCGCAGCAACCGGUUCCCACGAGCCCUGGGGCGGUUUUGAGACUGGAGGCGGGAGUGGGUUGGACGCGCGUCCCGGCUCCUGAGACCCAGCUGGAGUUUCAGAAUGCUCUCUACCUAGCUGCCUCCUCAACAGUGACAGUCGGGAAAACGUGACCAUCACUGCGUUAGCAGAAAGCCGAGAAACCAUUGGUGAACCGUCCUGACAAACUCCCUGUUAUGGUGGAGCUUACAUUCUGGUGAAAAGGAGUUUCGGCAGGAGCUAACAGGCAAGUAGGAGCAAGUUCCGGAAAGGGCCACACCUGCUAAGAAAAGGAGCAACUCCUUCAUCCGGGAACAAAGCAAGCUUAUCAUAAAAGACAACAUCUGCAAAGCUAGUUGAGAGGAAGAAACAGGUCACCGAUGGACCCUGAGGCUCCUGCCAGCCCUGACAAUCUCCUAUUUCAAGCAGGCAUCGAAUAAAUAUUUGCUGAACAAACAGA